Molecule: ribosomal RNA, 600 nt
Filed under: uncultured bacterium
Lineage: Bacteria
Description: bacterial SSU rRNA
Rfam family: Bacterial small subunit ribosomal RNA
Source: RNAcentral
CCUACGGGAGGCAGCAGUGGGGAAUAUUGGGCAAUGGAGGAAACUCUGACCCAGCGACGCCGCGUGCGGGAUGAAGGCCUUCGGGUUGUAAACCGCUUUCAGCAGGGAAGAAGCGAAAGUGACGGUACCUGCAGAAGAAGCACCGGCUAACUAUGUGCCAGCAGCCGCGGUAAUACAUAGGGUGCAAGCGUUGUCCGGAAUUAUUGGGCGUAAAGAGCUCGUAGGUGGUUCGUCACGUCGGAUGUGAAAAUCUGGGGCUUAACCCCAGACCUGCAUUCGAUACGGGCGAGCUUGAGUAUGGUAGGGGAGUCUGGAAUUCCUGGUGUAGCGGUGGAAUGCGCAGAUAUCAGGAGGAACACCAAUGGCGAAGGCAGGACUCUGGGCCAUUACUGACACUGAGGAGCGAAAGCGUGGGGAGCGAACAGGAUUAGAUACCCUGGUAGUCCACGCCGUAAACGGUGGGGCACUAGUUGUGGGGACCUUCCACGGUCUCUGCGACGCAGCUAACGCAUUAAGUGCCCCGCCUGGGGAGUACGAUCGCAAGAAUUAAAACUCAAAGGAAAUUGACGGCUGAGAGNGCGAGACGACGACGAGGAGAGG